CAGCAGCCGCGGUAAUACGAGGGGGGCAAGCGUUGUUCGGAAUUAUUGGGCGUAAAGGGCGCGUAGGCGGUUUGGCAAGUUUGGUGUGAAAUCUUCGGGCUCAACUCGAAGUCUGCAUCGAAAACUGCCGGGCUUGAGUAUGGGAGAGGUGAGUGGAAUUUCCGGUGUAGCGGUGAAAUGCGUAGAUAUCGGAAGGAACACCUGUGGCGAAAGCGGCUCACUGGACCAUUACUGACGCUGAGGCGCGAAAGCUAGGGGAGCAAACAGGAUUAGAGACCCCCGUAGUCCCUGUCUCUUAUAC
This 301-nucleotide ribosomal RNA is filed under the name uncultured bacterium. RNAcentral describes it as "partial 16S ribosomal RNA". It matches the Rfam family "Bacterial small subunit ribosomal RNA", at positions 509 to 807 of the family's 1533-position model. The record is from RNAcentral.